Molecule: long non-coding RNA, 1156 nt
Filed under: Homo sapiens (human)
Lineage: Eukaryota; Metazoa; Chordata; Mammalia; Primates; Hominidae
Description: HSALNT0303828
Source: RNAcentral
CUGACCAGACAAGGGCAUUGUCCCCACUCAGAAAUGCUCCAAAAGAACUAAGGAGAAGGAUUAGAGGAGACAAAAUGUUUUUGCUAAAUUCUUGCACUGAAGCCAGAGUUGCUCAGGAAAUAACAGCUCAGUUUGUUAGCUCUGAUCUCUAAUUCCAUCCCAAAUUCAUAACGUUAUUUUUUUUGUUUGUUUCCAUUGUUCAUUUGUUGUGUGCCUCUUAGGAUGUCCCUUUCCAUCUGGGCCUCAAUGACCUUCCCUGGGAAAUGGGGUACUUGUACUUAACCAUACCCCUGCUUCUAAAGACAAACUGGGAAAAUUAAAUGGAAAUUCUAAAAGAAAGCUUCAUCUUUUAGUUCCUUAGAGAACUAGCAUUACAGUUGAUUACCUAGGUGAUGAUUCAAGCUAUUCAACCCUUGUCAUUCUGAAUGUACUUCUCUUCCAGCUUGCCUUGGAAAGAAAAUCAGCCAGUUAAAGAAAGCAUCAGCUGGAACUCUCUCAGCUCUCAGUGACUGCAGAGUGAACUAUGGCAUUCAGCAUAGAAAAUGUUCUUCCAGUGCUCCAAUAAAUAGCAUUCAGUUUUUAGCCCCAGGGAAUUCAGUGUAGCCCUGGUUACUCCUCACUGCCACAGCCAACACUGCUUCCUUGGGUAGGAGAAAUGAUUUAUGGAGGUGAGCAGCCAUUCCAAACUUUAAUUAAGCACGUAAAGAACCAUCAAUUUUUUAAAGGGCACCAACCCAGAAAGAUGAGAGCUGAACUCCUGUAGAACAUAAUUACCUUUCCAACAUUUUAUCUGAUCUCCUUGUUUUACUUCUCUAAGAUGAGCUGAACAACAGCCAAUCAACCACCCCCACAGUUUACUCCUGCAGAGAAAGAUGUGCCUAAAAGAGAAGCAGCACCUACCUGGAAGACUCAGGAGACAAAGAGGGAAAGAAAUGAAUCCCCAAGAUUUCCUGGGCUGAGCCUAACAGGAUAUGAGAAGCAGAAACUUCUGGAUUGUGAGAAGAAACAAAGGAAGAAGAGAGAUGCUCUAUAGGAGAAAAAUCACAGACAAUAAGUGGGGAGAGCAAGAAGACAAAGUUUUGUUACUUUAAUUCACCACUCCUAUCCCCAGCCACCAGUGGCCAUCCUGUACUGGAUUCUAAACCCAGGGCCCUAA